CAUGUGGGGAAGGAUGAGAAGCUUCGACUAAGGUUCGAUUCGAGCGAAAGCGAGAAAGCGUUGCCGCAGGCAACGACCCGAAGGGCGAAGCGCGCAGCGCUGAGUAAUCCUUCCCCUACCACCA
Molecule: small RNA, 124 nt
Filed under: Salmonella enterica
Lineage: Bacteria; Pseudomonadati; Pseudomonadota; Gammaproteobacteria; Enterobacterales; Enterobacteriaceae
Description: partial RtT sRNA
Rfam family: RtT RNA
About the family: This family represents a bacterial cis-regulatory element known as RtT RNA. The exact function of RtT is unknown although it is thought that it may be involved in changing the cellular response in relation to amino acid starvation.
Source: RNAcentral